Sarcophilus harrisii (Tasmanian devil) is the source of this 558-nucleotide long non-coding RNA. Lineage: Eukaryota; Metazoa; Chordata; Mammalia; Dasyuromorphia; Dasyuridae. The record is from Ensembl.
UACACAGAGAGACUGGAAAGAGUGAACUAACAACUGGGAGUAUCUAAAAAGGCUUCUUAAAGAAGGAAGUAUUUGAACUGAACCUUGAAGAGAAUUAUCAGGGUUUCCAACCAAGGAGCCACAGACACAGGUUACCAGUGUGUGGUCCCAAGCUGCUGUGACAAAGCAAUGAAGGCAUUCUCAGGGAUGGUGAAAUGCCUAUGAAGAGGCAGAGGGAAUGCUGAAUCCUGAGAAAAAUCAAGAGAACUGGGUCUAGAGAAAAGAAAUCACUACUAUAACAGAUCUGACAAAAGGACAUAUAUGUUCUGCUUAAGGAACUCCAAUGAGGAAAAAAAAACAUAUUUUAAGAUAGCUAGUUCUACUUCAAGGCAUUUCUACAUGAUAAGAAGAUGAAGGCAGAUCUAAAAGUGGCUUCAAGAUUGAAACACAAAAUUACAAAUCUACAUAUAUUCAUGUGUACAUAUCAUAUACGUAUAUAUACAUAAUACAUAUGGGUGUAUGUAUUAUAUGUAUAUUAUGGUUAUAUUCAUCUCACAAGAAUAAGAUGAAGAAGGUGGG